AUUUUCCUCCCGCCAGAGGGUGCUGUCGGGUUUUGGAAGGGAUGCCAGGUUUCCUCACCCACCCACUCCCUGUCAGCGGCUAAUCUGGAUUCUUUCUGGUGGGGGGGCACCUUAGCGGGAGGGGGGGCUCUGCUAAAGGCGACCUCUCUUCUCCCCGGUUUUUCCCCUCAAGGGCCAAGCGGGCAUGACUGGAAGGACAGGACGUGAAGGAGCCCGAGGACGGCAGGGUUCUCCAGGAGAAGGAGGUCUAAGGGGCCCCUCAGGAUUCCCUGGCCCUUACGGUGACAAAGGCAGCGUCGGGGACCCCGGCAUGCAAGGAGACAUGGGUUUCAAGGUGCACAUGAGAAGCACACUUGUGUCGAUGAUGGUGUAUACAAAGAAAAUAUGUCAGCAAUGA
RNAcentral lists this long non-coding RNA (397 nucleotides) under Pogona vitticeps (central bearded dragon). Its description in RNAcentral is "lncRNA (ENSPVIG00000011386.1)". The record is from RNAcentral. Lineage: Eukaryota; Metazoa; Chordata; Lepidosauria; Squamata; Agamidae.